UACGUAGGAGGCGAGCGUUGUCCGGAUUUACUGGGCGUAAAGAGCGUGUAGGCGGCCAGACAGGUCCGUUGUGAAAACUGGAGGCUCAACCUUCAGACGUCGACGGAAACCGUCUGGCUAGAGUCCGGAAGAGGAGAGUGGAAUUCCUGGUGUAGCGGUGAAAUGCGCAGAUAUCAGGAAGAACACCGAUGGCGAAGGCAGCUUGCUGGGACGUUACUGACGCUAAGGCGCGAAAGCGUGGGGAGCGAACAGG
Molecule: ribosomal RNA, 253 nt
Filed under: uncultured bacterium
Lineage: Bacteria
Description: partial 16S ribosomal RNA
Rfam family: Bacterial small subunit ribosomal RNA
Source: RNAcentral